GGAUUGAGCCCAGUCGUGGCCAGGCCGCAGUCCGGUAUGAGGGGCCGUCCUGUUUGGACAGCUGGAACCAAUGCUAAAGGGCCUCGCUAUGAUCCACCAGAGGAUGGUGCUCAGCUUUAUGGAUGGAGAAAACCGGAAGACCUGGGUUAAACCACCGAUGUUUGGCAGUUAUUGACAAACUUCCCUGGCAUUGUGCUUGUGCAGGGUAUGUACAACAUAAACAUUGAUAAAAAACGAAUGAUCUUCAACAGAGACAGCACACACGGCCACACGAGCGCUUAUUGUCACCAAGAUCUCAAGAAAAGUGAAAACAAGAAACCUACAAAUUCUCCAGAACCGGGAUUGAACCCUCACCACUUGUGUCGUAACAAUUAAAACUCAAGUGUCUUUCAUAACUGAGUCAUGACUCGACUGCUUUGGAAAAAGCGAAUUAACAUAAGAGAUCUUUAUCAGUAUAUGGGAUGAUCCGAAAUGGUCGCUGAUACUUUAAUUAGAAACGAUUAAAUAUUUAAUCGUACGUCAGCGUUUUCAUCAUUUGUUAUUAAGUUAGCAACUAAAUUUUCUAUAAGGCAACCAAACUCAAAAUCACUUUGCCCUAUAAGUAAAAUAUUCUUGAGUACGGCGUAAAACACCUAUCAAAUAAAUGAAUAUAUCAAAAACAAUUUAACUCUAACGCAACAAAAUUCUGCCACAUGCAGCUUGAAUUUGAUGUAUUAACUCUCGCUUGUGUCAUAGUUAUUGAUUUUUCCCCAUACAAUGUUUUAUUUAUAAAAUGUAAUGCAAACUAUUUUUUUCAUGCUGAAAAUCUACAUUUAGUCUCAAUUAAAAAUGU
This is a long non-coding RNA of Liolophura sinensis, 832 nucleotides long. RefSeq lists it as uncharacterized. The record is from RefSeq and is a predicted model, not a curated record. The transcript is spliced from 3 exons. NCBI's taxonomy places the organism in Eukaryota, Metazoa, Mollusca, Polyplacophora, Chitonida, Chitonidae.